RNAcentral lists this ribosomal RNA (171 nucleotides) under Uropterygius hades. RNAcentral's name for it is "partial 12S rRNA". The record is from RNAcentral. Lineage: Eukaryota; Metazoa; Chordata; Actinopteri; Anguilliformes; Muraenidae.
CACCGCGGUUAUACGAGAGGCCCAAAUAGAUGCUUCAUCGGCGUAAAGUGUGAUUAGAGAACUCAAUAUAUUAAAGCCAAACAUUCCUUAUGCUGUCAUACGCUAAUUGGAUACAUGAAGCCCAACCACGAAAGUGACUUUAUAACACUUGAACUCACGACAGCUAGAACA